Gallus gallus (chicken) is the source of this 2557-nucleotide long non-coding RNA. The record is from Ensembl. Lineage: Eukaryota; Metazoa; Chordata; Aves; Galliformes; Phasianidae.
AUUGUCAGGCAUUUCACCCAUUCACAGUGUGAAGCCCUUCAUCUAUCCGCUUCCCAUCAUAAGACCACCGUUAAAGACAGAGCAGACUCCUUGUGUAACUGGAAAUCUCCCUAGGGUCUACCAGUACGGGUUGCUCCCAUUGCUGCUGUUCCCAGUCUCUCCCAGAAGCCAGACUAGAUGGAUCACAGCAGGAUUUUCAACCCUUAAUGAAGUCUUAUUCUUCCUGUUAUUUUUUUAUACAGCAGGACCAUCGCAAUUUAUCCCACAGCUAAAUCUCUUAACAUAAGCAAUAUGUGAUGAAUGGGAGAAAGGAAGUUUUACAGCCAGGGAGAUACGAAGGGAAGACCUAUGAGUGCCCACUGACUGAGAAACACUCUCACUUGUAGGUGGGGAGCAGACAACAGCAAGAGCAAAUCCUGCUGGUUGCUCAGUCUCCAUCAUCUGGGAACAGUGUGUCUUGCAAGCCACGUCCCUGUACUGGUAGUCUUCUCUGUUAGCAGUAGGGAGGGUCUGCUGUGCAAGGUGAAAUAAAUUUUAAAAUCCAACCUGGUGUGGAUCAAAUGAUCGGCAGGGCACUUUUUUCAUUACAUCUGCCACCUAUUUGAUUUCCUGCAGAAGUCUUACAGAACAUCUGAGCUGAGUCAUUCCCACCGCGCAUGGCCAAACUAACAUUUUGUAGGGAUGCGUUUGGGGAGGGGAGUGGGAGUAGGGGGAUAAUCAUACUUCAUAAUUUCUCAUCUUCCAAAAUAAUCUGUUUUCUAAAUGCAUUGCUAAAUCCUUGCGCUAGCAAUCUACCAUCUGCUCCUUCUUUCAACACACCCACUAUGUCGUCUGCUGUCUUGUUUUACUGCCAAAACUCCAAAUACUGCGGGUAGAAGAGAGUCUGUGCUUCUAGCUGCUUUUCUUGGGUCGCAGGGAGAAAAAGCCUUUGUGAUUAGCACCAAAUAGAACUGUGUGCACUGCUAUGCUGCUUGCCCUUAUCCUGCAAGCUGUGAUGUAAUCGCAGCAGCAAACCAGCAGCUAAAUUUUAUCCCUCUAAUUCCAGGCAGGGGCUCUGGUAGCGCCCUCCAGCACUGACUCGAGCUGGAAUGUUUUGGGUAAUCUCCGGAAUGCCUCAGUAGAAUUAUAAAUCCAUAAAUCAAAGCAGUCAUUAUGUAUUUGAAUAAUAUGUGGAUCAAAGUCUCAGAUUGAGGGCCCCUUUGUUCCCAUGCUCUUUUUAUAUCUUUCUCAGUGAGCAUCUAUUCAAUGAGGAACAAUUACAGUGAAUUUAGAGCAAAAACAUGCAGCGCUAAUGGAGCUCUGAAGAUCUCAUCUGGCAAAUUAUUUAAGCAUAUGCUUAAUUUUAAGCACAAGUGGUAAGGGUGAAAUUACACACAAUAGAGAAGCAUUUGGUUCUGUGAUAUACUGAAUCAGUAUCUAAAUUUAAGCUGACCUCUCAAGAUUGAGUCUUUUUGUAAAUAAGUCAUCUUUAUUCUCCCACCCAAAUACUUUCCUAGCAGUCUUUCAUCCCCGAGGUCUGUGCAAAUGCUGCAUGAAAUCCUGCUCAUGCUCCUCUGGAGAGGGGUCUGCCUUCAGUAGGAGCAAUUAAAGAAGAACAGGACAAGAGCUGCUAUCUGAUUAAUCAAUGCAAUUAUCCUGGGAAAUAUGGCCAUUUAUUUUUUGUCAAAGGGAAGCUCAGGCAUAAUAACCGAGUGAGUUGCAGCGUGAAGAGGAUCAGUCCGUGCCACAGCAUGCAGGGGAUGUCACUACUGAAUCGCCAAUUGCCAUCACCAGAGACAUCAGCCAAAAGCUCCUGCCUCCAGCCUGGGGUGAUCCCACCAAACCCAGCUUCUUCCUUUUUCAUCUGGGAAGACAUUUGAGGGGUUAAAAGGUUGAUGACCCGGACUCCCUGGUCCUGUUACCUGAAAGGACUUUCCUGCUCUUCUCUGCUCACUCUUCUACUCCUGCUGUGACAGCCAUUUCCAGGCCAUAUCUUCCUCUGGCAACAUGUCCUAAAUUUUUUGUGAUCCUAGUGGAAACUGUGAACAUACACAGAAAUCAAACACAACAGAACAAAUUGGAGUCCUGCGGCAGUCACACCAACCCCCAUACUCUGGAGAGAAACUUCUGCCCAAGUCUUCUCAGUGGCACAGAUCACGCCCUUAUGAUUUCCCUUGAUGCUUGAAUUCUUAGCAAAGGCCAACAAAUGGUAAAGAUGCUGCUGGAAGUACACAAACCAUUUCAGAGCGAUAUCCAGCCCAUGAGAACGCAGAUCGUGGCUAAAAAUGUUAAGGAUCAGAAGAUAAAGGCCAAGCACAUCAUGGGAUUCUGUUUGAUGACAUUUCCCCAUUUGCCACCACGAAGUCCCUGCACCUCCAAAGAGCAUCGCCAUAGGGAUGACCAUUGCCACAGCUCACCCAGCUGGCAUCACCGCUGCGCUUUCCCUUCUGUCGGGCUGUCACAGCCAACACCAACAUACCUGACGAUGCGCUGAGUUAAUCACUGCUGAAACAGUCCUGUGGAAAUGCAGAGCGUUGUGAAAGCAGGCGGUAUUAUCAUAAUUAAAUCAGCGUCAGAC